RNAcentral lists this ribosomal RNA (327 nucleotides) under uncultured eukaryote. RNAcentral describes it as "partial 18S ribosomal RNA". It matches the Rfam family "Eukaryotic small subunit ribosomal RNA", at positions 1470 to 1796 of the family's 1831-position model. The record is from RNAcentral.
CCCUUAGAUGUUCUGGGCCGCACGCGCGCUACACUGACGAAUGCAACGAGCUUAUAACCUUGGCCGAAAGGUCUGGGUAAUCUCCAAAUUUCGUCGUGAUGGGGAUAGAUUAUUGCAAUUAUUAAUCUUCAACGAGGAAUGCUUAGUAAGCGCAAGUCAUCAGCUUGCGUUGAUUACGUCCCUGCCCUUUGUACACACCGUCCGUCGCUCCUACCGAUUGAAUGGUCCGGUGAAGCGUUCGGACCGUGGCCUUUGGACGGUUCGCCGUCUGUUGGCUGCGGGAAGUUCGUUAAACCUUAUCAUUUAGAGGAAGGAGAAGUCGUAACA